RNAcentral lists this long non-coding RNA (422 nucleotides) under Brassica napus (rape). Its description in RNAcentral is "long non-coding RNA (BNAP_LNC012434)". Lineage: Eukaryota; Viridiplantae; Streptophyta; Magnoliopsida; Brassicales; Brassicaceae. The record is from RNAcentral.
AUAUGUUCUCAAUCCUCUUCUAAGGUUCCAUCUUAGACGGUACAUAUGUCUGUGGUGGUUUAUUCAAUUGUCUCUUAAGAUGGUAUAUGUCUGGCUCAUGACCCGUAUUCAAUCUGAGAUGAGAAUAUUUAUGCUCACUUAUAUGGCCUGAUGCAUAUUAACCUUAUAUACAUGUAAAACUCGUGAUGUCCCGAACCUUUGUAGGUAAUGGCCUUUGCGGCCGAGCCGUUUAUAGCAUGGUCAUAGACCAUAGUAGUACACAAAUUUGUAGUAUUGAUCAUGUGUGAUCAUGGAUCACGAGUUUAUCCUCUCUCCCCCUCAUGAACAUACUAUAAUUUCGUGAUGCUUAUGACAAUAAAGCCUCAUGAGUUUCCCUUGUGUACAUGUUACACAACGUGAGAUCUUAUGGGAUAACUCUGUGU